ACGGAAUAGAUACCCAGGUAGUCCACGCCCUAAACGAUGUCUACUAGUUGUCGGGUCUUAAUUGACUUGGUAAACGCAGCUAAACGCGUGAAGUAGACCGCCUGGGGAGUACGGUCGCAAGAUUAAAACUCAAAGGAAUUGACGGGGACCCGCACAAGCGGUGGAUGAUGUGGAUUAAUUCGAUGCAACGCGAAAAACCUUACCUACCCUUGACAUGGAUGGAAUCCCUGAGAGAUUGGGGUAGGUGCUCGAAAGAGAACCAUUACACAGGUGCUGCAUGGCUGUCGUCAGCUCGUGUCGUGAGAUGUUGGGUUAAGUCCCGCAACGAGCGCAACCCUUGUCAUUAGUUGCUACGAAAGGGCACUCUAAUGAGACUGCCGGUGACAAACCGGAGGAAGGUGGGGAUGACGUCAAGUCCUCAUGGCCCUUAUGGGGUUAGGGCUUCACACGGUCAUACAACGGUACAUACAGAGGGCCGCCAACCCGGCGAGGGGGUAGCUAAUCCCAGAAAGUGUAUCGUAGUCC
This 525-nucleotide ribosomal RNA is filed under the name uncultured bacterium. RNAcentral's name for it is "bacterial SSU rRNA". It matches the Rfam family "Bacterial small subunit ribosomal RNA", at positions 772 to 1294 of the family's 1533-position model. The record is from RNAcentral.